AUGAAGAGAAAAGCAAUGAGGAAUGAUGCUACAGGUAAUCAUGAGGUGUGCACAGCCAAGGCCUGUAUACCUGUGCUGUGUGCCCAGCUCACAAAAACAUCCUCCCCAGCUGCUGCUGGAAGGGACUGCCUUGAUCACUUGCACCUCGCAGCCUGGCUGGCAGCCCUUGGCACUUCCAAGGAGUUGAAGAUAAAUGAAGCAAGGGCUUUCAGCAACCUGAUAGUGCCACAACUGCACAAAGCAAGCUUUUCCUGUCCUGACAAGGGUGCGGGGUAAAAGAGGCCAUAAUACCACCAUAUUCUUAUAUAAAUACUUACACAAAUGCAAUAUCUUCUGUCUGGAAAGCAUUUGCAAUAAUAUGGGUAGUGUGUGUAACCACUUGCACUUUUUUAUAUACUAAAUCAUCCCAGGAGCUCUUACACAGGGCAAGUGGAAGAGAUCUUCUUCAUUCAUCUAAAGGGGAAUCCUGUCCCUACCCCAUGACAUUCAUUUCAAUACUCAAGCUUUGCUAGAGGACUGAGAGGACUACCAGCAAGCAUCAGCUGAUUUGGGACAUGCAGAUGGCAGCAGCCAUGGCACUGAAGAGACUGCAUGACAGUAACAAAGCAUGAGUUAUCUUGAGGGAGCUGGCCAGUGGUCUCCAGCUGGCUCCAGGCCCCAGCUCAGAAGGUCACACAGCUGACAUAUCAUCCUGUGAGUCACCCUCUGAUACUGCCUGUGUCCAGCAUAACUCAUGUGGUUUGGCAGCACUGAGGGAACUUCCUCCUCCUCCUCCUCGCUUGCUGCCCAGAGUCAAUGUUGCUCUACAGAACACACGAGACAGCAAAGCCACCAAGAGACAGAUGGCAACUCGACCAUCUUGUUAGUCAUCAUCGCCUCCUUGAGUGGCAGCACCAGACAAGAUUCAUACCACAAAUGCCACUUACAAACUGUCUAGAUGAUGUAUCAGCACAGCCAAAAUACAUCUACCUACAUCAAAAAUAAAGCUUUGCAGCCCAAGUCA
Molecule: long non-coding RNA, 1003 nt
Filed under: Cyanistes caeruleus (blue tit)
Lineage: Eukaryota; Metazoa; Chordata; Aves; Passeriformes; Paridae
Description: lncRNA (ENSCCEG00000014103.1)
Source: RNAcentral